Molecule: ribosomal RNA, 803 nt
Filed under: uncultured bacterium
Lineage: Bacteria
Description: bacterial SSU rRNA
Rfam family: Bacterial small subunit ribosomal RNA
Source: RNAcentral
CCGGCAAACGGGUGCGUAACACGUACGCAAUCUACCCACUACAGGGGAAUAGCCCAGGGAAACUUGGAUUAAUACCCCAUAUUAUAUAGAGGUGGCAUCACUUUUAUAUCAAAGCUUCGGCGGUAGUGGAUGAGCGUGCGGUUGAUUAGAUAGUUGGCGGGGUAACGGCCCACCAAGUCUACGAUCAAUAGCUGAUGUGAGAGCAUGAUCAGCCACACGGGCACUGAGACACGGGCCCGACUCCUACGGGAGGCAGCAGUAAGGAAUAUUGGGCAAUGGACGCAAGUCUGACCCAGCCAUGCCGCGUGAAGGAUGAAGGUCCUCUGGAUUGUAAACUUCUUUUAUCUGGGGCGAAAACAACUCUUUCUAGGGUUCUUGACAGUACCAGAGGAAUAAGCACCGGCUGACUCCGUGCCAGCAGCCGCGGUAAUACGGAGGGUGCAAGCGUUAUCCGGAUUCACUGGGUUUAAAGGGUGCGUAGGCGGGUUAGUAAGUCAGUGGUGAAAUCCCCGAGCUUAACUUGGGAACUGCCGUUGAUACUAUUAGUCUUGAAUAUCGUGGAGGUAAGCGGAAUAUGUCAUGUAGCGGUGAAAUGCUUAGAUAUGACAUAGAACACCAAUUGCGAAGGCAGCUUGCUACACGAUUAUUGACGCUGAGGCACGAAAGCGUGGGGAUCAAACAGGAUUAGAUACCCUGGUAGUCCACGCCCUAAACGAUGAUUACUCGACAUCAGCGAUACACUGUUGGUGUCUAAGCUAAAGCAUUAAGUAAUUCACCUGGGAAGUACGAUCGCAAGAUUGAAA